RNAcentral lists this transfer RNA (87 nucleotides) under Vibrio vulnificus. RNAcentral's name for it is "tRNA-Leu". It matches the Rfam family "tRNA". From Rfam's summary of the family: Transfer RNA (tRNA) molecules are approximately 80 nucleotides in length. Lineage: Bacteria; Pseudomonadati; Pseudomonadota; Gammaproteobacteria; Vibrionales; Vibrionaceae. The record is from RNAcentral.
GCCCAGGUGGUGAAAUUGGUAGACACAAGGGAUUUAAAAUCCCUCGACUUUCGAGUCGUGCCGGUUCAAGUCCGGCCCGGGGCACCA